This 522-nucleotide ribosomal RNA is filed under the name uncultured Glomus. Its description in RNAcentral is "SSU rRNA". It matches the Rfam family "Eukaryotic small subunit ribosomal RNA", at positions 569 to 1092 of the family's 1831-position model. Lineage: Eukaryota; Fungi; Glomeromycota; Glomeromycetes; Glomerales; Glomeraceae. The record is from RNAcentral.
AGCAGCCGCGGUAAUUCCAGCUCCAAUAGCGUAUAUUAAAGUUGUUGCAGUUAAAAAGCUCGUAGUUGAAUUUCGGGGUCAGCAGGUCGGUCGUGCCACUGGUAUGCACUGGCCUUGCUGAUUCCUCCCUCUUGAUGAGCCGUAAUGCCAUUAAUUUGGUGUUGCGGGGAAUCAGGACUGUUACUUUGAAAAAAUUAGAGUGUUUAAAGCAGGCAAGCGCUUGAAUACAUUAGCAUGGAAUAAUGAAAUAGGACGUUCGAUCCUAUUUUGUUGGUUUCUAGGAUUGACGUAAUGAUUAAUAGGGAUAGUUGGGGGCAUUAGUAUUCAAUUGUCAGAGGUGAAAUUCUUGGAUUUAUUGAAGACUAACUACUGCGAAAGCAUUUGCCAAGGAUGUUUUCAUUAAUCAAGAACGAAAGUUAGGGGAUCGAAGACGAUCAGAUACCGUCGUAGUCUUAACCAUAAACUAUGCCGACUAGGGAUCGGAUGAUGUUAAUUUUUUAAUGACUCAUUCGGCGCCUUACG